Long non-coding RNA from Drosophila serrata, 753 nucleotides. RefSeq lists it as uncharacterized. The record is from RefSeq and is a predicted model, not a curated record. NCBI's taxonomy places the organism in Eukaryota, Metazoa, Arthropoda, Insecta, Diptera, Drosophilidae.
AAAAAAUAACAAUAAAUACGAGGCCGAGGAAAAAAUGCCACAAACUCGUAAAUAUAUAUUUUUUAGAAUUCUUUUUAACUGGGCUCGGUUUUGGUUUUCGGUUUCCGAGGCCCAGCAAAAAAGUUCAAGGUAAUUGCCGUUGUCAAAGCAGCAAAGCAACGAAAAGUGGGCGGGCCCCGUGAAAACUUGGCCAACAAUUUAUGGGCCACUUGACUACAAGCAAAGGGUGUUGAGGUUGCACGCGAGCAAUCACCAGAACCAGAACCAGAACCCGAACCAUAUCGAGGUGUAUAUAGUCUGGAAAAGGGGCCCCUGCCCACACGUGCAAUUAUAUAUAUCAGUCGGUCUUCAGCGUUUCCUUCAUGGGCGGCAAAUUUAUGUGUCUCUAUAGGCCCGACCCACAAAAUGAAGUUGUCUAGUCGCGACACCUGCUCAGGAUUCAGAUUUAGCCGAGUCUCGGUGGCCAUUCGAGGGUGGCAUCUUGAGGAGGAGGAUUCGGUGCCGGUGUCCCCCCUUUGUUUGUUGCUCUGAUAGCGAACCUUUUUACAAAUAUUUUCAUUGGACAGCAGCUCAGGAGAGGAAUUCGGUCAACAUGUUGCUGGUUAUGUCAGUCAACAGGAAAAAAGCCAAGUGAAAAGUAUUUAAGUACAUAAUUAAUAACGCACUUCCUUAGGUUUAAUCAUAUUGCAUUUUAACGCUGGUAAAUUACUCGAAGGAAUAGGUAUUAAAAUAAAGAAAACAAUAGACUUUACU